CCUGGCUCCAGUUACCCUGUCCCAUCUGAAUCUGCUCUUGACUACCUCAUGGUGGAACAGAGUUCAUCAGCGGAUGAGACUGGAGAGGAUCUUCAGCCUAAUGAACCAGCAAGCUGGGGUCUGACUCAUGACCAGAUCGAAUAUCGGUAUAGGACCAGACAGGAUAGAGUGGCCAUCAUGUACUCGGGCCCUUUGACUUCCGUUGUCCCAGCUAAAUGGGCCUUUGACCACCUGAUGGGUGGGGUAGAGUGCGAGGAGCAGAACAGUUGUCCGUAUACCAUCGUCUUCUACUGACAGCCAAGCCACCUGCUACAUCUACUACCACUCAACUGCUCAGCUGCCCUCUGACUAAAUUACAUGACA
Sardina pilchardus (European sardine) is the source of this 363-nucleotide long non-coding RNA. RefSeq lists it as uncharacterized. The transcript has 3 exons. The record is from RefSeq and is a predicted model, not a curated record. Lineage: Eukaryota; Metazoa; Chordata; Actinopteri; Clupeiformes; Clupeidae.